Molecule: ribosomal RNA, 440 nt
Filed under: uncultured bacterium
Lineage: Bacteria
Description: partial 16S ribosomal RNA
Rfam family: Bacterial small subunit ribosomal RNA
Source: RNAcentral
CCUACGGGAGGCUGCAGUGGGGAAUAUUGCACAAUGGGGGAAACCCUGAUGCAGCGACGCCGCGUGAGUGAAGAAGUAAUUCGUUAUUUAAAGCUCUAUCAGCAGGGAAGAAAAUGACGUUACCUGAGUAAGAAGCCCCGGCUAACUACGUGCCAGCAGCCGCGGUAAUACGUAGGGGGCAAGCGUUAUCCGGAUUUACUGGGUGGAAAGGGAGCGUAGACGGCAGUGCAAGUCUGGGGUGAAAGGCGGGGGCUCAACCCCCGGACUGCUCUGGAAACUGUACGGCUGGAGUGCAGGAGAGGUAAGUGGAAUUCCUAGUGUAGCGGUGAAAUGCGUAGAUAUCAGGAGGAACACCAGUGGCGAAGGCGGCUUACUGGACUGUAACUGACGUUGAGGCUCGAAAGCGUGGGGAGCAAACAGGAUUAGAUACCCUAGUAGUC